RNAcentral lists this unclassified non-coding RNA (125 nucleotides) under uncultured Ascomycota. RNAcentral's name for it is "sequence contains ITS1". Lineage: Eukaryota; Fungi; Ascomycota. The record is from RNAcentral.
CAGAGUUUCUAACUCACAACCCAUCGUGAACAUACCUUUGUUGCUUCGGCGUGCCUAACCGCCGCCGAAGACCCUAAACUCUUGUUUUCUCAUGUGUUACUCUGAGUAAAUCUUGAAAUAAAUCA